RNAcentral lists this ribosomal RNA (316 nucleotides) under uncultured Chloroflexota bacterium. RNAcentral describes it as "bacterial SSU rRNA". It matches the Rfam family "Bacterial small subunit ribosomal RNA", at positions 28 to 351 of the family's 1533-position model. The record is from RNAcentral. Lineage: Bacteria; Bacillati; Chloroflexota.
GAUAAACGCUGGCGGCGUGCCUUAUGCAUGCAAGUCGAACGGUCAAUCGCAAGAAAGAUAGUGGCAAACGGGUGAGUAAUACGUAAGUGACCUGUCUAUAAGUGGGGAAUAACCUACCGAAAGGUGGACUAAUACCGCAUGUGGUGAUGAGGGUAAUGCUUCAUCAAGAAAGCCGAAAGGCGCUUUAGGAGGGGCUCGCGUCCGAUUAGCUAGUUGGUAGGGUAAUGGCCUACCAAGGCGAGGAUCGGUAGCUGGUCUGAGAGGACGAUCAGCCACACUGGGACUGAGACACGGCCCAGACUCCUACGGGAGGCUG